UCUUAUGUUCUUCUUAUGUACUAAAAAUACCCAUGACAAAAUCUUAACCUUAAUAAUAAGACAGAAAAUAUCAUAAUGCCACUCUAAAAAUCCAUGGCACACCCACCCACAACUGUGUGCAGUUCCAGUCACCCCAUCCCAAAAACAUAUAUUAGAAUUGGGGAAAAGUACAGAGAAGGGCAACAAAAAUUACGAGGGAUAUAGAACAACUUCUGUACAAGGUGAGAUUAAAAAGACUGGGAGUGUUCAUCUAAGAAAUGACUAACGGGAUAUGAGAGAGGUCUGUAAAAACAUGACUAAUGUGGAGAAAGUGAAUAAGGAAUAGGAAGUUACUCACCUUGUGCAGUAACGAUGGUUCUUCGAGAUUUGUGUCCUGUUGCUGCUGUAGUGUAGGUGUGUCUGUGUCCUUGCACUACUGAUUGGACAACUUUGGUAGCAGUGUCCAUUUGGCCCACAAAUACGCCAUCUCUCCUCAUGCUGUCCCAUGAGGUUAGCAAGCAUGCGGGCGCUAACCAUCCUUGGGUCCUUCUCUACCCAGAGUCAUAGUGAGAACUCUGAAGUAGAGGAGAGGAGGGCAGGUCAUGGAGCACCCACAUGGUCAGGGACACACAUCUUGAAGAACCAUCGUUACUGCACAAGGUGAGAAACUUCCUCUUCUUUGAGUACUGUCCCUAUGGGAGUCCACUGUAGGUGUCUCCAGAGCAGUGUCCCCCUUGGAAGGCUGGGACUUCAGAGUCGGGUCAGUCACAGAUGACAGGACUGUGGAGCCAAAGAUGGUAUCGGAGGCAGAGUCCCAGCGAUCACAUAAUGUUCUGCAGAGGUGUGGCUGACACCCACCUCGCCACUCUGCAGAUCUCUGAGAUGGGGACGUCCUUGAGGAAGGUGACAGGUGAGGAGAUUGACCUCGUGGUCAGUGACCCCAUAAGCAUCACAUUAUGAAUUUGGUAGCUGCCUGAUGCAAUUCAAGACCCACUUGGAGAGUCUUUGAGCUGAUAUCGCUGAGCCCUUAGAUCUUUCCACCAUAGAGAGAAAUAGUCUACGGGACUUCCUGAAGGCCCUUGUCCUAUGGAGGUAGAAUACAAGGGCUCUCCUAAUAUGUAAGGUGUGCAGUAUGGCCUCCCUAUUGUCUCGGUGAGAAUCAUAGAAUCAUAGAAUAUCAGGGUUGGAAGGGACCUCAGGAGGUCAUCUAGUCCAACCCCCUGCUCAAAGCAGGACUGAUCCCCAAUUAAAUCAUCCCAGCCAGGGCUUUGACAAGCCUGACCUUAAAAACUUCUAAGGAAGGACAUUCCACCACCUCCCUAGGUAACGCAUUCCAGUGUUUCACCACCCUCCUAGUGAAAAAGUUUUUCCUAAUAUCCAACCUAAACCUCCCCCACUGCAACUUGAGACCAUUACUCCUUGUUCUGUCAUCUGCUACCACUGAGAACAGUCUAGAUCUAUCCUCUUUGGAACCCCCUUUCAGGUAGUUGAAAGCAGCUAUCAAAUCCCCCCUCAUUCUUCUUUUCUGCAGACUAAACAUCCCCAGUUCCCUCAGCCUCUCCUCAUAACUCAUGUGUUCCAGGUGUGAGGCGUGGGGUAGAAGGCAAGAAGGUAAAUAGACUGAUUGAUGUGAAACAAGGAGAUCACUUUAGGGGUGAACCUGUGAUGCAGCCUAAGUGUAACCCUGUCCAGGAAGAAUACUGUAUAUGGGGGAUGCGCCAUCGGAGUUGCUAUUCCCCUAUUCUUCUCGCCGCAGUAAUUGCAAACAGAAAGACCGUUUUCAUCAAUAGGUGUGCUAGCAAAGAGGUGGCCAUAGGUUCGAAGGGGGGCCAAGUCAGCCCUUUCAACACUACGAUUAGGUCCCACGAGGGGGAAGGAAGUUGAGGUUGAGGGAAGAGGUUUGUUAUUCCCUCUUAGUGGUUGGGUGUGAUAGUGCCGAGCACCUAAGUUCCCUCUAAGCUGCAUGGUUGCGCAGCAGGCUGUAAAGGGCCACGGAGUCAUGCAGUCACAGGGGCCUGGAGAGGUAGGGGUGGGCAGAGACUGGAGAGGGGAGCAAGCUGGGCCAUGCAGGGCUGCGAUGGGCCUCUCCCCCAGCCCCAGAGCUCCUGCCACUGGGGAGAGGGCUCAGGGGAGUCGUCUGGCCCCAGCCCCGGGGCAGCCUUCACCCCAGACUCCUUAUCCCUGGCCCCACCUCAGAGUCCUCAUGCCCAGCUAGAGCCCUCACCCCUGCACCCCAAUCAUCUGCCCCAGCCCUGAAGCCCCUUCCACACUCUGAAUCCCUCGGCCCCCACCCCCACCACACAUCACCUCCAUAUUGGUGCAUAUAACAAAAUUCAUUCUGCACAUGGAUGUAAAAUAUUAGAGGGAACAUUGCUGAAUACCCUUCUAAGGUUUGGUGAAAUGCUGUCAUAGCUGCUAGGUGGACCCUGAGCGAGGACAGGAAUAACCCCAAUUUUCUAAGGGUCAGAACAUAUUCCAGAAUAUGUGGAAGAGUUGCUGACACCAGCGAGAUCUGUUGGGACCUGCACCAAAUCUAGAACCUGGACCAUUUCUGCAGGUAAGUGCUGUAUGGUGGACUUUCUGCUGUGCAGUAGAACCUCUUGCACUUCCUCUGAGCAUGAGCUGUCUAGGUGCUGGAACCACAUAGCAGCCACGCUUUGAGGCGAAGGAGCCCCAUGCUGUGAUUUACGGUGCACCCUUUGUCCUGAGAGAGAAGGUCCAGAGUGGCCAGAAGGGAGAUCAGUGGGCACAUCACAAGCUGCAUCUGGCAAGGGUACCAGGUCUGUCUCGGACACAUAGGAGCAAUCAGAAUUAUGUGAGCUCCGUCCCUCUUUAUCUUCAACAGGACCUUCAGCAGAAGAGGAAACGGACGGAAGGCAUAAAGACAGUCCUUGUCCCAGAGAGUGCUGUCCACUCCCCUCCCUGGAACAGUAUGAUAGAUACUUCUUGUUCUGGUGUUGCACUGGUGUGAGGAUUGACUUCUGGGAAUUAGUCUGUAAGCCCAGCUCUGUGAACAAGCGUAUCAUGUCCUCGGUGGCUCGACAAGCCUCCAGAAGUGACUGGGCUCUGAGGAGAUAAUCGUCCAGAUUCCCAGUGACCCGAAAGUGGCCCUGGGAUCCUUCAAGGAGUAGAGAGAGGCAUCGGUCUUCUCAGCGAAGAGCUUCACCCCUCCAAAGGGGGGGAUCCUCCACCGUGGUCUGCACCUCCUUUGGGAAUCCCGAGAGGUGAAGCCAUGACGCCCGUCUCAUCACCCCUGCAAUGGAGUGUCGAGGGCCGAUUGCAAUGAUGUGUUUGCAAUCGGUUGCCCCCCCUGGAUGGUGGCCUUGAAGGAAUACCGGGAGCGCUCCGGCAGCUUAUCAAUAAAGUUGUGUAAUUUAUUGUAAUUUGUGUCAUACUUUGUCAUGAGUGCCUGGUAGUUGGCAUUGUGAAAUUGCAAGGUGGCCAAGGAGUACGCCUUCCUACCAAAGAGAGCAAGUUGUUUCCAAUCUCUGUCAUAGGGUGUUGUCGUAGAAUGGUGCUGUCGGCCAUGAAGUUCCCAACAUCCACCACAAUGGAAUUGAGUGGUGGGUGGGUGAAUGGGAAUUCUGAUUCCUUUGUGAGGACGUAAUAUUUUUUGUCCACCUGCUUUGUCCCCGUUCCGGUGUCAACACAAGAACAAAGUCUUUUCUUUCUUCUUUUUGUUAGUUUUGGGUUUUUUUCCAUUUUUUUUUAGGCACAGCCAUAUAAAAGCCAAAAGAAAGCUAAAGGUUUCUAAAAGCUAAAGAUUAACAACUGAAAAGGAGAGUUAAUGAUCUGCUAAUGGACAGCUAAAGGCUCCAUUUCUAGUCGGGGCAGCUGAGAAGCCGCUGAGGAUAGCGGAGCAGGAAGAGAGACAGCGAAUUGACACCAUUACGGAAGUUCUCUGAUCAGCAGCGCAGGGACACAGAUGUAUCUACAAUGGAGCACCCAUAGGGACACUACUCAAAGAAGAAGUUAUUUACCCCUUCUCAUAACACUCGAACCAGGGGUUAGCUAAUGAAAUUAACAGGCAGCAGGUUUAAAACAAACUAAAGGAAGU
Chelonia mydas (Green sea turtle) is the source of this 4036-nucleotide long non-coding RNA. RefSeq lists it as uncharacterized. NCBI's taxonomy places the organism in Eukaryota, Metazoa, Chordata, Testudines, Cheloniidae. The record is from RefSeq and is a predicted model, not a curated record. The transcript is spliced from 3 exons.